CGUAAUCGGGCUGAAGUCGUACCGUAAGGAGCGGUGGACUGAUUACGAGUGAGAAUGUUGGCAUUAGUAGCGAGAUGUGGGUGAGAAUCCCACAGGCCGAAUACCUAAGGUUUCCUCAGGAAGGUUCGUCCGCUGAGGGUUAGUCGGGACCUAAGCUGAGGCCGAAAGGCGUAAGCGAUGGACAAUCGGUUGAUAUUCCGAUACCACUAUUAUCGUUAUUAUCGAUGGUGUGACGGAGAAGGAUAGGAUGUGCUAGCUAUUGGAUGCUAG
RNAcentral lists this ribosomal RNA (270 nucleotides) under Clostridium botulinum. Its description in RNAcentral is "partial 23S ribosomal RNA". It matches the Rfam family "Bacterial large subunit ribosomal RNA", at positions 1240 to 1510 of the family's 2925-position model. Lineage: Bacteria; Bacillati; Bacillota; Clostridia; Eubacteriales; Clostridiaceae. The record is from RNAcentral.